Molecule: ribosomal RNA, 253 nt
Filed under: uncultured bacterium
Lineage: Bacteria
Description: partial 16S ribosomal RNA
Rfam family: Bacterial small subunit ribosomal RNA
Source: RNAcentral
UACGUAGGUGGCAAGCGUUGUCCGGAUUUACUGGGCGUAAAGGGCGUGCAGGCGGUUUGUUAAGUUCAGGGUGAAAGCUCCCGGCUCAACUGGGAGAGGUCCUUGGAUACUGGCAGACUUGAGGAGGGUAGAGGAGAGUGGAAUUCCCGGUGUAGUGGUGAUAUGCGUAGAUAUGCGGAGGAACACCGAUGGCGAAGGCAGCCUCCUGGGAUAACACUGACGCUCAUGCACGAAAGCGUGGGGAGCAAACAGG